UACGGAGGGUGCAAGCGUUAUCCGGAUUCACUGGGUUUAAAGGGUGCGUAGGUGGGCAAGUAAGUCAGUGGUGAAAUCUCCGGGCUUAACCCGGAAACUGCCGUUGAUACUAUCUGUCUUGAAUAUCGUGGAGGUAAGCGGAAUAUGUCAUGUAGCGGUGAAAUGCUUAGAUAUGACAUAGAACACCGGUUGCGAAGGCAGCUUACUACACGAUCAUUGACGCUGAGGCACGAAAGCGUGGGGAGCAAACAGG
Molecule: ribosomal RNA, 253 nt
Filed under: uncultured bacterium
Lineage: Bacteria
Description: partial 16S ribosomal RNA
Rfam family: Bacterial small subunit ribosomal RNA
Source: RNAcentral